RNAcentral lists this ribosomal RNA (253 nucleotides) under uncultured bacterium. RNAcentral describes it as "partial 16S ribosomal RNA". It matches the Rfam family "Bacterial small subunit ribosomal RNA", at positions 524 to 776 of the family's 1533-position model. The record is from RNAcentral.
UACGUAGGGGGCAAGCGUUGUCCGGAAUCAUUGGGCGUAAAGAGCGUGUCGGCGGCCCGGUAAGUCCGCUGUGAAAGUCCAGGGCUCAACCCUGGGAUGCCGGUGGAUACUGUCGGGCUCGAGUCCGGAAGAGGAGUGUGGAAUUCCUGGUGUAGCGGUGAAAUGCGCAGAUAUCAGGAGGAACACCAAUGGCGAAGGCAGCACUCUGGGACGUGACUGACGCUGAGACGCGAAAGCGUGGGGAGCAAACAGG